GUGAGGAAUCUUGGACAAUGGGGGCAACCCUGAUCCAGCAACGCCGCGUGAAGGACGAAGGUCUUCGGAUUGUAAACUUCUUUUGUUCGGGACUAAUGAAUCUGUAGAAAUACAGGGAUUGACUGUACCGGACGAAUAAGCCACGGCUAACUUCGUGCCAGCAGCCGCGGUAAUACGAAGGUGGCAAGCGUUACUCGGAAUUACUAGGCGUAAAGGGCAGGUCGGUGGUUUGGUAAGUCUGUUGUGUAAGCUCCUGGCUUAACUGGGAGAGGUCAACGGAAACUGCCAGGCUUGAGUAUGGGAGAGGGUACUGGAAUUCCCGGUGUAGCGGUGAAAUGCGCAGAGAUCGGGAGGAACACCAAUGGCGAAAGCAGGUACCUGGACCAUUACUGACACUCAGCUGCGAAAGCUAGGGGAGCAAACAGGAUUAGAAACCCUAGUAGUCC
RNAcentral lists this ribosomal RNA (446 nucleotides) under uncultured bacterium. Its description in RNAcentral is "bacterial SSU rRNA". It matches the Rfam family "Bacterial small subunit ribosomal RNA", at positions 354 to 796 of the family's 1533-position model. The record is from RNAcentral.